GCAGAGUAAAUUUGUGUGCGUUAAGUGCCGUGUGAACGGGGAGUUGUCAUGCGGACGAAAAGGAUUCUUGCGGUACACAGAUUGCAUCCCGCUG
Molecule: non-coding RNA, 94 nt
Filed under: bovine gut metagenome
Description: THF riboswitch
Rfam family: THF (Tetrahydrofolate) riboswitch aptamer
About the family: THF riboswitch presents a pseudoknot that joins P1-P2 and the loop of P3 and two THF binding.
Source: RNAcentral